UGUGUGAAGAAGGCCUUCGGGUUGUAAAGCACUUUCAGUCGUGAGGAAGGUGGUGUAGUUAAUAGCUGCAUUAUUUGACGUUAGCGACAGAAGAAGCACCGGCUAACUCCGUGCCAGCAGCCGCGGUAAUACGGAGGGUGCGAGCGUUAAUCGGAAUUACUGGGCGUAAAGCGCAUGCAGGUGGUUUGUUAAGUCAGAUGUGAAAGCCCGGGGCUCAACCUCGGAAUAGCAUUUGAAACUGGCAGACUAGAGUACUGUAGAGGGGGGUAGAAUUUCAGGUGUAGCGGUGAAAUGCGUAGAGAUCUGAAGGAAUACCGGUGGCGAAGGCGGCCCCCUGGACAGAUACUGACACUCAGAUGCGAAAGCGUGGGGAGCAAACAGGAUUAGAUACCCUGGUAGUCCACGCCGUAAACGAUGUCUACUUGGAGGUUGUGGCCUUGAGCCGUGGCUUUCGGAGCUAACGCGUUAAGUAGACCGCCUGGGGAGUACGGUCGCAAGAUUAAAACUCAAAUGAAUUGACGGGGGCCCGCACAAGCGGUGGAGCAUGUGGUUUAAUUCGAUGCAACGCGAAGAACCUUACCUACUCUUGACAUCCAGAGAACUUUCCAGAGAUGGAUUGGUGCCUUCGGGAACUCUGAGACAGGUGCUGCAUGGCUGUCGUCAGCUCGUGUUGUGAAAUGUUGGGUUAAGUCCCGCAACGAGCGCAACCCUUAUCCUUGUUUGCCAGCGAGUAAUGUCGGGAACUCCAGGGAGACUGCCGGUGAUAAACCGGAGGAAGGUGGGGACGACGUCAGUCAUCAUGGCCCUUACGAGUAGGGCUACACACGUGCUACAUGGCGCAUACAGAGGGCGGCCAACUUGCGAAAGUGAGCGAAUCCCCAAAAGUGCGUCGUAUCCGGGAUUGGAGUCUGCAACUCGACUCCAUGAAGUCGGAAUCGCUAGUAAUCGUGGAUUCAAAUGCACGGUGAUACGUUCCUGGUCCUUGGUACACACCGCUCGUCACACAUGGGAUUGGCUGCCAAGAAAGUUAAGUAUGCUAACGUUCGGGGGACGCCUUAACCAUUUUUGGCUUCAAUGAGCUUG
This 1083-nucleotide ribosomal RNA is filed under the name Vibrio sp. Its description in RNAcentral is "bacterial SSU rRNA". It matches the Rfam family "Bacterial small subunit ribosomal RNA", at positions 401 to 1478 of the family's 1533-position model. The record is from RNAcentral. Lineage: Bacteria; Pseudomonadati; Pseudomonadota; Gammaproteobacteria; Vibrionales; Vibrionaceae.